This 119-nucleotide ribosomal RNA is filed under the name Salmo salar (Atlantic salmon). The record is from RNAcentral. Lineage: Eukaryota; Metazoa; Chordata; Actinopteri; Salmoniformes; Salmonidae.
GCUUACGGCCAUACCAGCCUGGGUACGCCCGUUCUCGUCUCAUCUCGGAAGCUAAGCAGGGUUGGGCCUGGUUAGUACUUGGAUGGGAGACCGCCUGGGAAUACCAGGUGCUGUAAGCA